This is an RNA transcript of Archocentrus centrarchus (flier cichlid), 4350 nucleotides long. It is a transcript of the gene named dynamin 1a, with no coding region annotated. Lineage: Eukaryota; Metazoa; Chordata; Actinopteri; Cichliformes; Cichlidae. The transcript is spliced from 25 exons. The record is from RefSeq and is a predicted model, not a curated record.
CCCCCCCUGCGGCGCUCGGAGAGAGUGUUGGAGAGAGUCCUGGCUGAGGUGAUCUGACGCACCGAAGAGGUACCGUCAAUGAGGAAGCAAACCGAGAAGUGAACCGGUGUGCGCGCAGACCAGAACUCCCUCUGAACGCAAAGGUGGCAAGGAGGGAAGCAGAGAAAGAUAAGACAUAGAUCCGUCCCUGUUCUGUCAAGGAAGGCAGCCCUUCCUCCUCUCGCACCGCAAAGAUGGGGAACCGGGGAAUGGAGGAUUUGAUUCCUCUGGUGAACCGCAUGCAGGAUGCUUUCGCGGCCAUCGGACAAAAUGCGAACCUGGACCUGCCUCAGAUCGCCGUGGUGGGCGGACAGAGCGCCGGGAAGAGCUCGGUGCUGGAGAACUUCGUCGGGAAGGAUUUCCUUCCCCGUGGCUCUGGCAUUGUGACCCGCCGUCCUCUGGUCCUGCAGCUGAUGAACGCUCCCACAGAGUACGCUGAGUUCCUCCACUGUAAGGGUAAAAAGUUCACAGAUUUUGAUGAGGUCCGGCAGGAGAUCGAGGCAGAGACUGAUCGCGUGACCGGAGCCAAUAAGGGAAUCUCCCCCGUGCCCAUCAACCUGCGUGUUUACUCUCCUCACGUGCUGAACCUGACGCUGGUGGACCUGCCAGGGAUGACCAAGGUGCCGGUGGGUGACCAGCCUGCAGACAUUGAGUCUCAGAUCAGAGACAUGCUAAUGCAGUUUGUCACCAAGGAGAAUUGCCUGAUGCUGGCCGUCUCCCCAGCUAACUCUGACCUGGCCAACUCUGACGCUUUAAAGAUUGCCAAAGAGGUCGACCCUCAGGGCUUAAGGACUAUUGGUGUGAUCACCAAGCUGGACCUGAUGGAUGAGGGGACCGAUGCUAAAGAUAUUCUGGAGAACAAGCUGCUUCCACUCAGGAGGGGUUACAUCGGUGUGGUGAAUAGAAGCCAGAAGGACAUAGACGGAAAGAAGGACAUUAAUGCCGCUAUGGCUGCUGAGAGGAAGUUCUUUCUCUCCCACCCUGCAUAUAGACACCUGGCUGACCGAAUGGGAACUCCCUACCUCCAGAAAAUCCUCAAUCAGCAACUGACCAACCACAUCCGGGACACCCUGCCAAAUCUGCGGGCCAAGCUGCAGAGUCAGCUUCUGUCCAUCGAAAAGGAGGUGGAGGAAUACAAGAACUUCAGACCUGACGAUCCGUCUCGCAAAACCAAGGCUCUCCUCCAGAUGGUGCAGCAGUUCUCGGUGGACUUUGAAAAAUGUAUAGAGGGUUCUGGGGACCAGAUCGACACAGCCGAGCUUUCAGGCGGUGCCAGGAUCAAUCGCAUCUUUCAUGAACGCUUCCCUUUCGAACUGGUCAAGAUGGAGUUUGAUGAGAAAGAACUCCGCAAGGAAAUCAGCUACGCUAUCAAGAACAUUCACGGCAUCAGAACUGGCCUCUUCACGCCGGACAUGGCCUUUGAGACCAUUGUGAAAAGGCAGAUUGGGAAGAUUAAAGAGCCUUGCACCAAAUGUGUGGACAUGGUCAUUUCUGAGCUAGUCAUUACGGUUAGGCAGUGUACCAAGAAGCUGGCUCAGUACCCCAUGCUGAGGGAGGAGAUGGAGAGAAUUGUCACUCAGCACAUCAGAGACAGAGAAAGUCGUACUAAAGGACAGGUGUUGCUGUUGAUAGACAUUGAGCUGUCCUAUAUGAACACUAACCAUGAGGACUUCAUUGGAUUUGCCAAUGCCCAGCAGAGGAUCAACCAAAUGAACAAGAAGAAAACAGCCGGGAAUCAGGAUGAAAUCAUGCCGGAGAGAGGAGUUAACGAUCGGUUCAAGGUGAUCAGAAAGGGCUGGCUGACCAUUAAUAACAUCGGCAUCAUGAAAGGAGGGGCCAAGGAGUACUGGUUUGUCCUCACCGCCGAGUCUCUGUCCUGGUACAAGGAUGAUGAGGAGAAGGAGAAGAAGUACAUGCUGCAGGUAGACAACCUGAAGCUGCGUGAUGUGGAGAAAGGCUUCAUGUCCAGCAAGCAUAUUUUUGCCCUCUUCAACACUGAACAGAGAAAUGUGUAUAAGGACUACCGCCAGCUGGAAUUGGCUUGUGAGAGUCAGGAAGAUGUUGAUGCAUGGAAAGCCUCCUUCCUCAGAGCCGGAGUUUAUCCUGAACGCGUCACGGAGAAGGAAGGAAAGAGUGAUGGUGGUGAUGAAAAUGGUUCUGACAACCUCAUGCACAGCAUGGACCCUCAGCUGGAGCGGCAGGUGGAAACCAUCCGCAACCUGGUCGACUCCUACAUGGCAAUCGUCAACAAGACCGUCCGUGACUUGAUGCCGAAGACUAUCAUGCAUCUCAUGAUCAACAACACUAAAGAGUUCAUUAACGCUGAGCUGCUGGCCCAGCUGUACUCAUGUGGUGACCAGAACAGUCUGAUGGAGGAGUCUCAAGAGCAGGCCCAGCAUCGUGACGAGAUGCUGCGGAUGUACCACGCCCUGCGGGAGGCCCUCAAAAUAAUCGGCGACAUCAGCACAUCUACUGUAACCACCGCCGCACCGCCACCUGUGGACGAUUCGUGGCUGCAGGUGCAGCGUGGCGGUUCUGGUGGACGGUCUCCAGCUACCAGCCCAACUCCAAACCGCAGGGCUCCACCAGGACCCCCAGCCCGCCCAGGCUCUCGUGGACCUCCACCUGGGCCUCCUCCUGCUGGGGGUCCCCCUGUCCCUUCUCGCCCUGGAGCUUCUCCUGACCCUUACAGUGGGCCACCACCCACUGUGCCCUCCCGGCCUAACCGUGCACCCCCAAGUGUGCCUAGGGGGAUGUGAAGACACCUGGAUGAGGGGAUAAAGGAGAAUCACUAUAACUGACCAAUGAGGACUAACAUUACGGCCGGCCAAACAAGGGCGGCCCCUCCCGCCCUGAGAGCCCUCUGCCGCCAUUCGACUCUUAGAAGGAAACAUUCUCCCGGUUACCUCUUCCCCUUCUUAAGCUCAUCUCGCAUAUGUCCAUCAACUCUAAAACAGACGGCAACAUCCAUCCACCCACCCACCCAUCACUCACUCACUCACAUGAGGGGAGGAAGGCUUGAAUGAACUACAGAAGUAAAGGAUUGCCGAUAAACUCUUCACCCUCAGAUAGACGCUGCUGCUCUUUGUCCAUUCUUUUUCUCCUCCUCCUCCUCUUUCAGCCUUGCAGGACAGGAGGAACUGCCCGUUGUAGCCUCAGGAAGGCCUCAGUGUCACUGUUAAAUCCACGUGCAUUUUUAAACUGCUGUUGUCUGUGCUUCCACAGAACCUAUGCAACAAAGAAAAAGGUUUCUCAGUCCCUUUUGACUUAAAAACAAAAAGAUGUUUUUCUUCCUCUCUGCUUCACACAAAUGUAACUACAUUAUCUUGAAGCAAAUGUGCAGCUGCAGACAACGGCGUGAAACACGAGAAUCAGACCUGAGAGGAAGGGAAUCUUUGGCCUGGGUUGAAACCCUGUGACUGUUCGCUAGAUAGCUCCUUACAUAUCCUCUUUAUUCAGAGAGAAUGAAAGCGGGAAGGGUUUUGAAUAUUUGCCAUGUGAAAACAUUCAGCUUUUUAUCCCAGUUGAUGAUCUGCCAUUUCUGCUCUUUUCUUUUCCCUCUUUCAUUGUUUUUUGUCCUUUUUCCAGUGGUCACGGGGGUGAGUGAGAACAUUAAAAACAAACACAGUCUAUGCAUAAAACUGGCAUUAAAAAAAAACAAAAAACAAAGCUCCUUCUCUUUCACCCUGUCAUAUUGCUUUUGUGAGAGCCUGUGACUUGAACCCACCACCUUUUCUACCACUGACCUCCUCUGUCAGCGUGAUGUGUUGUAUUGUAUUUUUGAACCCAGACAAAAAUAACCUACCAGCCACAAAAAAUAAUCCACUAUUGAUCCCUUGUGCAUCUGGAUACUCCAUGACUGCAAAGUAAACACAAAUAAGCAUAUUCUACUUCUUAUUUAAUGGUAAAUAGUUUGUUAUGGACAUAUCUUAAUGUGUUAUUCUGUAUAUGUGUGAUGCAUCUUACUGAACUUCCACUCUCUAGUGUAUUAAACUGCUGAAUAUUUAAAUUAUGAAUAAAUGAGUAUAUGUAUAAGGAAGUAAUGUUUUAAAACCCUAUAAAAAAAAUAUGUAAUACAGUGAUGAAUCUGGGCAUCUGCAGGUUGUUUGAUACUUUUGCUUGCAAGCAGAGUGUGUUUGUUUUUCUUGUCCUUCUGUGUGUAGAAUAGCAGCGAGGGACGAGGUGAAUGUGUGAAGUCCUGCAGUGACCGGGUCCUGCAGGACUAGUUUAAACUGAUGUGGAUGGAAAGGUGACUUUAACCUGCAGGACUGCUGUGCUCUGUCAAGACAUUAAAUACUUCGGUGUAAUGGG